Long non-coding RNA from Chelonia mydas (Green sea turtle), 228 nucleotides. RefSeq lists it as uncharacterized. The transcript has 2 exons. Lineage: Eukaryota; Metazoa; Chordata; Testudines; Cheloniidae. The record is from RefSeq and is a predicted model, not a curated record.
CGGACCCCAUGAUUGCUUCACGGUGACCACCCAACUUACUUGUCCUAGGGUUGACCUAAAGGACACCCUGCUCCAGAAUCCAAAUCUGCUGUUCUAUGUAGACAGGUGCUGCCUCAGGAAUCCUUCCGGCCAGCUUGUGGCCAGCUAUGCUAUGGAUCGAGGCCUAGCCGUGCGCGAAGGCAGAUGCCAUCACUGUGGCCAAAAGACUGUUAAAAAGACUUUAUCCCU